This 429-nucleotide ribosomal RNA is filed under the name bacterium. RNAcentral describes it as "partial 16S ribosomal RNA". It matches the Rfam family "Bacterial small subunit ribosomal RNA", at positions 355 to 776 of the family's 1533-position model. The record is from RNAcentral.
UAGGGAAUCUUCCACAAUGGACGCAAGUCUGAUGGAGCAACGCCGCGUGAGUGAAGAAGGUUUUCGGAUCGUAAAGCUCUGUUGUUGGUGAAGAAGGAUAGAGGCAGUAACUGGUCUUUAUUUGACGGUAAUCAACCAGAAAGUCACGGCUAACUACGUGCCAGCAGCCGCGGUAAUACGUAGGUGGCAAGCGUUGUCCGGAUUUAUUGGGCGUAAAGCGAGGGCAGGCGGAAUGAUAAGUCUGAUGUGAAAACCCACGGCUCAACCGUGGAACUGCAUCGGAAACUGUCAUUCUGGAGUACAGAAGAGGAGAGUGGAAUUCCAUGUGUAGCGGUGGAAUGCGUAGAUAUAUGGAAGAGCACCAGUGGCGAAGGCGGCUCUCUGGUCUGCAACUGACGCUGAGGCUCGAAAGCAUGGGUAGCGAACAGG